ACGAGAGGAGACUUCUGGGCGC
RNAcentral lists this non-coding RNA (22 nucleotides) under Arabidopsis thaliana (thale cress). The record is from RNAcentral. Lineage: Eukaryota; Viridiplantae; Streptophyta; Magnoliopsida; Brassicales; Brassicaceae.